RNAcentral lists this long non-coding RNA (1729 nucleotides) under Capsicum annuum. RNAcentral describes it as "long non-coding RNA (CANN_LNC012834)". Lineage: Eukaryota; Viridiplantae; Streptophyta; Magnoliopsida; Solanales; Solanaceae. The record is from RNAcentral.
UUGGGGGCGGGGGGCAACAAAAGAGCCAAGAAAAUCGAAUUGUUAGAAGAUUCAGCAAAUCCUCUCUCUUGCAAAGACUUUAGACCUCAAGUGUAAUGGUAAAAGGUAAAGUCUAAUGGGAAAAUCUAAUAUUCUUCACUCACAGGAAAACAUUUUCCAUCAAAAAGUGUGUAUAACUUACCAAUAGAAGUCAAUUUCCUUACAACAUCUAUCUUGACUUUUAACUUCAUAUUGCCUGCUCCAACAAACAUUUAGACGUUAUUCGAAAUUUCAUUAAAACACUCUUGUUAAUAUCAUUAUAAAUUUAAAUAUAACUUUGUCAGAAAAUUAAAAACUUUUCACUUGCCAACCGAACACCAAAAACAUCUUCCUGGAGAACGCUUUUCAUGAAAAAUGGCAUUUGUCAUACCAACAACAACAACAACAAACCCAGUGUAUUCCCACCUAGUGGGGUCUGGGGGGUUAAGAUGUACGCAGUCCAUACCUCUACCUCUAAAGAAGUAGAAAGGCUGUUUCCGAUAGACCCCCGGCUCAAGUCACGAGAUACCACACAAACCAUAGUAAAGCACAGAACUAGAUUACAUAACAUAAAUACGGCACCCAUAAGUAUUAGAAAACAGAGGAAAGCACACAGAUUCGUAAUAAAACAUAGAACACGGAAUCAUAACAAGAAUAAAACCCCCACCAAGUAAUUCCCUACCCUAGCAACCCAAACCGGCCCUAGUCUUAUGCCCUAAUUCGCGUCCUCCAGACCUUCCUAUCUAGGGUCAUGUCCUCGGUGAGCUGUAACUGCUCCAUGUCCCGCCUAAUCACCUCACCCCAGUACUUCUUCGGCCUACCCCUACCCCGCCUAAAACCAUCCAACGCUAGCCUCUCACACCUACGAACCGGGGCAUCCAUGCCCCUCCUCUUCACGUGUUCGAACCAUCUCAAUCGGGCUUCCCGCAUCUUGCACUCCACCGGAGUCACACCAACCUUCUCCCGGAUAGUCUCAUUCCGCACUCUAUCCCCUUUUGUCAUACCAAACUAUGAAAUAUACAUCUAUCUAGAUAAAGAACGUGUAUGGUAAACUUCUUAACACUUCUUAUCCGUCAAUGGUAACAAACAAAUACACCCCCUUUCGAUAUUUUUGAGCCCCAGUCAAAAGAAAACAAGGAAAAUUAUACUACUAAGUUUAAUUGACAAUGUCCAAUCGCUGAUACAGCAGUAUUGACCUCUGAAUCUAACAUACAAAUGCAACAUUUUAUGUAUCAGCAAGCACUACAGAAGCACAGACAAAUGAGAGCUUGUAAGAAUAUUAUUUACUUGUGGCCCAAAUUUACUUGUGGUCCAAGUUUACUUAUUACCCAAGUAAUGACCACAAUUAAAGAAUAGAUCUCGUACGCCAGUUACUUAUGGAGUACAGGAUUAGGUCUUAACCUCUAUAAAUUGGUCCUCCCUCCUCCCAUUAACGUCACCACAUACUCUCCUCUCUUUUUUCAUCACUAAAGAUUGUGGUAACAUAAGACAGGGGAAAGGAGGUAGAAACCAAUUUUUGUAUUAACGCUUCGGCUAUUCUCUGUGAUGAUGUCUUCUGCCUCAGGUAUGUUUUCUAUAUAGCAUCUCUAUAAGAUUAUUGUGUUCAAGAUCCUGAUGUGCAUGAAGUGUUUAAAGUUUACGAGGCUUACAAACUCUUAUCCACUUGUACCAUCCUUAUGUGCUGAGUGAAUGACGUUAUCCAAAAUUCACC